This 88-nucleotide transfer RNA is filed under the name Vulcanimicrobiota bacterium. RNAcentral's name for it is "tRNA-Ser". It matches the Rfam family "tRNA". Rfam says of the family: Transfer RNA (tRNA) molecules are approximately 80 nucleotides in length. Lineage: Bacteria; Bacillati; Vulcanimicrobiota. The record is from RNAcentral.
GGAGAGGUGGCAGAGUUGGUCGAUAGCGCUCGCCUCGAAAGCGAGUAACGGAUAAAACCGUUCGUGGGUUCGAAUCCCACCCUCUCCG